GAGAUUGAAGAUGGGCUGGAGGGAAAGCUUUUACUUUUUAUUUGACAUUCUUCUGUAAGUUGGAAUUAUUUGAUACACUUUAUGCAACCAAUACCAGUAUGUGGCGUGUUUGGGGGUUUUUUAAGCAGCUCUGGAAGAGCAGAGGAGAGGGAGCUUGGUGGCACAGCAGCAGCAGCAGCAGGAGCUCUGGAAAGGGCAGGACCUUGUGCGCUGCCCUGAUUUGCUCUGUGCACUUGGGCCAGCUACCUCCCCUAUCUGGACCAGGGCCAGACACAUGCUGCUAUGUGUGUUGGUGGAGGUGGGGUGUGUGGCCAUGCAGGGCUCCUCCGGAGCACAGCAGAGCAGCCGGUGUUUAAGGCACCAGAAUUACCAGAAAGUUGUUGACAUUUUAAUGGAAAGGCAAUGGAGGAAGCAGUGUGAAAGUCAGCCUGCUCAGGAGGGG
Molecule: long non-coding RNA, 442 nt
Filed under: Homo sapiens (human)
Lineage: Eukaryota; Metazoa; Chordata; Mammalia; Primates; Hominidae
Description: HSALNT0267523
Source: RNAcentral